UGAGAAAGUUUAUGAAAUAGACUCAUCUUGACCAGUAUAUCUAAUAACUUUAAACAAACCUAUCAACUCCAUAUUGCUAAUCCUUCUCAGAAUCCACUUUGAUCUCUGCAUCAUCUAGUGUCAAUGGAUCCUCUCUGUGACUUUAAAGCACCUUGGCUCGGUUGGAGGUACUGCUGCCCAAAGCCAGUUGUAAGUGUGAGGCCAACAGACGUGGAUGCCAGUCAGGAGCAGGGACCCAGCAGCAUGCUAUGCCAGUGAAACUCAGAGGAGAUGCUGCAAGGCAGUAUAGGGUGCACCAUCUUUGGCAAUAUUCAAGUUGUUCUCUGUUCCAGGAUCCAGCCUUACUGAAGGUUAGCUGCAGUCAUAUAAUUACAGGAAGGAAGUUUACGUUAGAGAAGGCAGUACAGUCUUCAGUCAUCCCUGAAAGUAUUUUAGACUGACAGAGGCUCCAGGGUGUGCGGUUCUGCGUGCUCUGGCUCAGCCCCAGCGUGCCCUUAGCUCUACCAACAUGCUAUAUGCAACAAAGUACAGAGAUGGACUGUAGACUUCCAGCAAGUUACCACUUCCAAGGACAAAGACAGGAAGCUUGCUCCUGGCUGUCCCACCCAUCUUGACUGAGCUGCCUGGAAGCUUCUCUGGAGUGAGUUUCUUCUAAGAUACCUGCAACUUGCUCCAUUUGCUUGAGCAUCCUAGAACUUCUUAAUCUGCUGUGUUCUGAUACUGGGCUUAUUCAUGUGUGAAAGGUGCUGUUAGGACACCUUUCUUUGCUGAAGAAAGCUGAAGUGAGUGUUCAUGGAAAUACUGCCGAUAAAAGGGUGUAUUAAAAAAUGAAAAUUGACAAGAGGACGUUAAGUACAAAAAAGAAGAUACUUGGAUUUGAUGGCUGAGCAUGAAUGGCUGCGUACAGAAAAGUGAUGCAGAACCCACUGGAAUUUGUUGCUGUCUCAAAGCUGAAGAAGACUAGAAUCAAAAUGAUUCUAGUUAUUCCUGGCUUUAAAGAUACAAAAGACAAGACAGAUGAGAGAAAACAAGAAGAAAAAUCACUGUGGAAGAAAA
Non-coding RNA from Coturnix japonica (Japanese quail), 1056 nucleotides. Lineage: Eukaryota; Metazoa; Chordata; Aves; Galliformes; Phasianidae. The record is from RefSeq and is a predicted model, not a curated record.